This 326-nucleotide ribosomal RNA is filed under the name Clupea harengus (Atlantic herring). Its description in RNAcentral is "partial 12S ribosomal RNA". It matches the Rfam family "Bacterial small subunit ribosomal RNA", at positions 857 to 1349 of the family's 1533-position model. Lineage: Eukaryota; Metazoa; Chordata; Actinopteri; Clupeiformes; Clupeidae. The record is from RNAcentral.
ACAACAAAUAUCCGCCCGGGAACUACGAGCGCCACGUUAAAACCCAAAGGACUUGGCGGUGCUUCAGACCCCCCUAGAGGAGCCUGUUCUAGAACCGAUAACCCCCGUUCAACCUCACCACUCCUUGCCCCUCCGCCUAUAUACCGCCGUCGCCAGCUUACCCUGUGAAGGUACUACAGUAAGCAGAAUGAGCAUUCCUCAGAACGUCAGGUCGAGGUGUAGCGUACGGAGUGGGAAGAAAUGGGCUACAUUAUCUGAAACAGAUUAUUUACGAAAGGCCGCCUGAAAUCAAGCACCCGAAGGUGGAUUUAGCAGUAAAAAGGGAA